GGUUUACUUGGGCCGGCAAGUACACGUUCAUUUCCCUGGUCAAGCGCAGCACCGUAGCAUAACCCUAAACCCUAAUCUAAACCCACAAAGAGAAACUGGCUCACCAUUUUGGUGGGUGUAUUGGGAUUUCAAUCAAAGAGAAGUGAGUCGAGCAGGUAUGGCUUUGCGUGGUUCCUUUACGAGAUCACUCAUUUCCACCGUUAGGGCUUCCACUUCCCGUUCAUCUCCCUCAAUUAACCGCGUUCGCACUCCUCCCAUCUCCGCCCCUCGUUCCAACACGCGCCGCUUCUCAUUCACCACUCCCAGGACAUUGGGAGCUUUGGGGUGUACUCAGUCAUUUUUGCCGUUGCACAAUGUGGUAGCUGGAACUCGAUUGACUUCUCACUUGACAGUUAACGUGCGGGCUUGCUGCGAGCUGUAUCACGGUACCUUCCAACGUUCUUGUCAGGAUCGCUAAUAGUUUCUUUGUACUUGAACACACGGUUACUGGAGCAGCACAAAGUUGCUUGAAGUUUAUGGUAGUCUUGGCGGGUAAUGCAUCUCUGACAAUCUGUUUCAGAUGCAGAAAAUAAUAGCUGUAAUUUUUCAUGUUCAGAAGAUAAACUAGAAAAUCUGUUUUUGAUGGGCAGUGUCAUAGAGAUCAAAUUUAUUUCAGUUUAGUGCUCAUUCGUGCUUGACCUAUCUUAUGUUAGCUGUCUAUUGUGCACAUACUUUUGGAGCAAUCGUGUCCCUUACUGGGACCAUCUUUUAUUGUUAAACGAUACACUGGACUACUGGAGGGAUGAUGGGCAGAUCUGCCUAAUUACUUGCUUUUGCUGCCUUUUCGUUGAACUUCUAUAGAACCCUUACUUCUAUGUUGUGUAGAUUUGAAAGGUCAUUUCUGUUAUGCCUAUCCAGGAAAAUAAAUUAGAUUUUUAUGAUGAUAGCAUUAAUCAAUCAGUACUUGUGUUCAACUAUGUAAAUUAUUUGUAUUCAAGUGGUGGCCAGUGAGAACAAUUUCUAAAUUUUUUAUCUCGAUGA
Molecule: RNA transcript, 1020 nt
Organism: Capsicum annuum
Lineage: Eukaryota; Viridiplantae; Streptophyta; Magnoliopsida; Solanales; Solanaceae
Exons: 4
Source: RefSeq, a predicted model, not a curated record